GGGGUUGUGGCUCAGUGGUAGAGUACUCAUCUGACAUGCAUGAUGCACGAGACACUGGGUUCAAUCCUCAGCACCACA
Molecule: transfer RNA, 78 nt
Filed under: Marmota monax (woodchuck)
Lineage: Eukaryota; Metazoa; Chordata; Mammalia; Rodentia; Sciuridae
Description: tRNA.Val
Source: RNAcentral